GUGCUCACUUCAACAUCACAUAUACUAAAAUUGGAACAAUACAGAGAAGAUUAGCAAGGCCCCUGUGCAAGAAUGACACGCAAUUUGGAGGAGUGCAAAAGAUGGGA
Small nuclear RNA from Nycticebus coucang (slow loris), 107 nucleotides. Lineage: Eukaryota; Metazoa; Chordata; Mammalia; Primates; Lorisidae. The record is from RefSeq and is a predicted model, not a curated record.